Molecule: long non-coding RNA, 308 nt
Organism: Lontra canadensis (Northern American river otter)
Lineage: Eukaryota; Metazoa; Chordata; Mammalia; Carnivora; Mustelidae
Exons: 3
Source: RefSeq, a predicted model, not a curated record
AAAAAGGAAGGGCCAUGGAGUUUGGGCACCUAGGCUGGAGAACAUCAGGGACAGCGGAGGCCUCCCCAGCCCGCAAGUCACGGUAGCAGAAAUGCUGAGCUGGACUGAAACUGUAAGGAAAGCCCUAUGCGGGUACAGAACUGUACAGUUUGCAAAGAAAUAUACUGGCUCCGAAGUAUUUAUAAAGCCCUUUCCAUUCACAAACUCCCACUGCCCCUUGCAGCUGCAGUCAGAUGCAUCUAUAACGGUGAGAAGCAGAGAAGAAAGGAAGGCAAGAGCACAGGAAAGAAGGGAAGAAGAGAGGAAGA